Panthera uncia (snow leopard) is the source of this 103-nucleotide small nuclear RNA. Lineage: Eukaryota; Metazoa; Chordata; Mammalia; Carnivora; Felidae. The record is from RefSeq and is a predicted model, not a curated record.
GUUUAAAAAAUUAAAAAAAAAUUAAAAGUGGAAUGAUACAGGAAGAUUAGCAUAGCCACUGCACAAGGAUGAUAUGCAAAUUCUUAAAAUGUUCCAUAUUUUU